RNAcentral lists this ribosomal RNA (422 nucleotides) under uncultured bacterium. RNAcentral describes it as "partial 16S ribosomal RNA". It matches the Rfam family "Bacterial small subunit ribosomal RNA", at positions 360 to 774 of the family's 1533-position model. The record is from RNAcentral.
AAUUUUGGACAAUGGGGGAAACCCUGAUCCAGCCAUCCCGCGUGUAUGAUGAAGGCCUUCGGGUUGUAAAGUACUUUUGGCAGAGAAGAAAAGGUACCUCCUAAUACGAGGUACUGCUGACGGUAUCUGCAGAAUAAGCACCGGCUAACUACGGGCCAGCAGCCGCGGUAAUACGUAGGGUGCAAGCGUUAAGCGGAAUUACUGGGCGGAAAGCGUGUGUAGGCAGUUCCGAAAGGAAGAUGUGAAAUCCCAGGGCUCAACCUUGGAACUGCAUUUUUAACUGGCGGGGUAGAGGAUGUCAGGAGGGGGUAGGAUUCCACGUGUAGCAGUGAAAUGCGUAGAUAUGUGGAGGAAUAACGAUUGCGAAGGGCGCCCCCUGGGAUAAUACUGGCGCUCAGACACGAAAGCGUGGGGAGCAAACA